This 749-nucleotide ribosomal RNA is filed under the name Lacticaseibacillus casei. RNAcentral describes it as "bacterial SSU rRNA". It matches the Rfam family "Bacterial small subunit ribosomal RNA", at positions 52 to 765 of the family's 1533-position model. Lineage: Bacteria; Bacillati; Bacillota; Bacilli; Lactobacillales; Lactobacillaceae. The record is from RNAcentral.
UACUGCACGUCGUACGAGUUCUCGUUGAUGAUCGGUGCUUGCCCCGAGAUUCUACAUGGAACGAGUGGCGGACGGCUGAGUAACACGUGGGUAACCUGCCCUUAAGUGGGGGAUAACAUUUGGAAACCGAUGCUAAUACCGCAUAGAUCCAAGAACCGCAUGGUUCUUGGCUGAAAGAUGGCGUAAGCUAUCGCUUUUGGAUGGACCCGCGGCGUAUUAUCUAGUUGGUGAGGUAAUGGCUCACCAAGGCGAUGAUACGUAGCCGAACUGAGAGGUUGAUCGGCCACAUUGGGACUGAGACACGGCCCAAACUCCUACGGGAGGCAGCAGUAGGGAAUCUUCCACAAUGGACGCAAGUCUGAUGGAGCAACGCCGCGUGAGUGAAGAAGGCUUUCGGGUCGUAAAACUCUGUUGUUGGAGAAGAAUGGUCGGCAGAGUAACUGUUGCCGGCGUGACGGUAUCCAACCAGAAAGCCACGGCUAACUACGUGCCAGCAGCCGCGGUAAUACGUAGGUGGCAAGCGUUAUCCGGAUUUAUUGUGCGUAAAGCGAGCGCACGCGGGUUUUUAAGUCUGAUGUGAAAGCCCUCGGCUUAACCGAGGAAGCGCAUCGGAAACUGGGAAACUUGAGUGCAGAAGAUGACAGUGUAACUCCAUGUGUAGCGGCUGAAAUGCGUAGAUAUAUGGAAGAGCACCAGUGUCGCAGGCGACUGUCUGGUCUGUAACUGACGCUGAGGCUCGAAAGCAUGUC